UCGGGAAUUUUGGGCAAUGGGCGAAAGCCUGACCCAGCAACGCCGCGUGAAGGAUGAAGUAUUUCGGUAUGUAAACUUCGUAAGAAUAGGAAGAAUAAAUGACGGUACUAUUUGUAAGGUCCGGCUAACUACGUGCCAGCAGCCGCGGUAAUACGUAGGGACCAAGCGUUGUUCGGAUUUACUGGGCGUAAAGGGCGCGUAGGCGGUGUGUCAAGUCAGUUGUGAAAUCUCCGAGCUUAACUCGGAACGGUCAACUGAUACUGUCACACUAGAGUACAGAAGGGGCAAUCGGAAUUCUUGGUGUAGCGGUGAAAUGCGUAGAUAUCAAGAGGAACACCUGAGGCGAAGGCGGGUUGCUGGGCUGAUACUGACGCUGAGGCGCGAAAGCUAGGGUAGCAAACGGGAUUAGAUACCCCAGUAGUCCCUGAGCGGGC
Molecule: ribosomal RNA, 434 nt
Filed under: uncultured bacterium
Lineage: Bacteria
Description: bacterial SSU rRNA
Rfam family: Bacterial small subunit ribosomal RNA
Source: RNAcentral